Molecule: ribosomal RNA, 425 nt
Filed under: uncultured archaeon
Lineage: Archaea
Description: partial 16S ribosomal RNA
Rfam family: Archaeal small subunit ribosomal RNA
Source: RNAcentral
CUACGGGAUGCAGCAGUCGGGAAACUUCUGCAAUGUACGAAAGUAUGACAGAGCAAGCCAGAGUGUUUUUCUAAUAAUUGAAAAACUUUUGUGAAAUGUAAAAAGUUUCACGAAUAAGGACCGGGCAAGACUGGUGCCAGCCGCCGCGGUAAUCCCAGCGGUCCAAGUCGCAGCCACGUUUAUUGGGUCUAAAACAUCCGUAGCUUGCUGUGUAAGUCUUCUGUGAAAUCUGGCCUCUUAAGGGUCGGGCGUGCAGGAGAUACUGCGCAGCUAGAGACUGGGAGACGUAAGAAGUACGGUUAGGGUAGCGGUAAAAUGCGUUAAUCCUUACUGGACUAACAAUAGCGAAGGCAUCUUACGAGAACAGAUCUGACAGUGAGGGAUGAAGGCUAGGGUCGCAAAACGGAUUAGAUACCCGUGUAGUC